Arabidopsis thaliana (thale cress) is the source of this 74-nucleotide small nucleolar RNA. It matches the Rfam family "Small nucleolar RNA snoR110". The record is from Rfam. NCBI's taxonomy places the organism in Eukaryota, Viridiplantae, Streptophyta, Magnoliopsida, Brassicales, Brassicaceae.
GCUAAAUGUAGUGCCGCUUUGUCUUUUUCAAGUUUUCUCUGUGGAGUAAGCUUUAAUCUUGGUGGCAGAAAUAG